UUCCUCAUUCUCAGUAUCCACUACCACAGCUUUUCUCUUAGCUAUUAACGCAUUAGCCUUGUCCAAGCUAAGGGAGGUAUUGGUAGUAGUACGCAUAGCUAAAGCAACGUCAGCUGCCAUCCCUUUUAUUCCAAAUCCUGACAAAAAGAAGGAUUUAAUUUUGUUAUAAGGGUUUAUUAUAUGUAUCCAAAAAACAUAUACAAAAAGAGAUAUAUACAGUGUAUUUUCACUAUCCACCCAUGUAAGGAAGAAAUAGACUUCCAAGUUCUAUCUUCUUUAGGAGCAACCUUCAAAAUCGAAUCUACCCAACCACGGAAGUUGGGAAUAGGCUCCACAUCUCCCAUGGUUGCUACAAAAAACCAAAAAGGGUUAAAAUUAGAGAGAAAAUCAAAACCUCAGAAAAUAGGUACGGGGAAGUAAGCAGAAACUUACGUGCGAAGUUCCACUUCUCAAGGAAGGGAAUGUUUGAUUCACGUAGCAAAUCCAUAUGAACAACAAUAUAACGAAGAUACCACCCACGGUCUUUAUCAUCAUCGGCGUUUACUAAAACUUUCUUACUUCUUGCAGUUAAGGUAAAAUCUCUAUGGCGCAGUAGGCUGGGAUGGUAUAAAUGGAUGAGAUGGGAAAAUGUAUAAUUGAAUUUCAAUUUAGUAGACAAAAAUCUCAAACAAGCUACAACCCUCCAUACUAAAGGGCCAACUUGAGCCAAGCAAAUGUUGAAAAAUCGACGGAAAUUAAAGAUAACUGGAUCUAUGGCAGGUUUGAAUCCUAAAAUGAAGGGGUAGGUGUAAACAAAAGAAAAUCCCUGUAUAUAGGAUGAAAUUCUCUGACUUAUGGAAGGAACUGAUAAACGAACACCCUCUUUCAAAUUGCAGUCUUUUCUAAUAAUAGGGACUGUGAGUUCAUUAUAAGAGAGGGGUAACGGUCAGCCUUUUCCAAUUUCGCAAUUUUCUUUUGAAGAGAUGUUCUAUCACUCGCAAAAGACAAAUCAUUCGGUAUAAUUUUUUCAACUGUGGGUUCUAGAUAAGGGUCUGAAACUUCUUUACCUUACAAAGAGGGAGUUUUUGAAGAGGAACCUUUAACACUAGAACUUAAAGAAGAAGGAGCAGAACCAGUUAAACCUCCACGUGUAGAUCGCAAACUUCAAAGUCUUCCUCCUCUGCCUCUUGUAUGUUUGAUUGGAGCAGAUACAUUAGGAAAUUGAUCGAAACGUAGAAUAUUUUUGGGGUUAGGGUUUGGAGAUGCCAUUGGUAGAUAAGCUUGAAGUGAAGAGGAGUAAAAGAAGGAAAAGGUAUGAUUGAUGAAAAUCGAUGAAGAAGAUGACAAAGGAAGUGUGAAUUAAAAUGUUAUAUGGAAAUAACCAUCAAAAUUAAAAGCUGCAAUGAUGGAAACCAUAUAUUAAAGAUAACUAUCACUUCGUAAAUAGAGAAAGUUGAACAAGCCUAGAAAAGUGGGUAAAAAAUUGCAGAUCCAAUAAGAAGAUGACACGUGUAUGGAGCAUUAAAUGAGAAAGACAGAUGGGACGUUAAUACUGUUACACGCAUUAAUUGUGAAAAAAAAUUUCUUUUAUGAAGAUACACUUCCUAGAUAUUUAAUUGAUAAAUAAAUAAGAAGUGGGGGGACUAUCUGUAUUGGGAAAAAACUGAAUUAGAAUUAAAGAUGAUGUGGCAUGACACAUGGACUGGUCAAAUAGUCAAAGCGCAAUAAAACAUUAAAAGGCACGAAAGACAACAUGCAUAAGAGGAGAAAUGAAAAUAGACACGAGAGGUAGUCUCAGAUAUGCGUCUCGUAUCUAUUUUAGUCAUUUAAUACCAACGGAUAAAAAGGGCACUGAAGACAAGAAUAUGAUGACAAAAAGUAGUGUACGUUCAUUAUUAAAUACUUGAUAUGUUAGAUAAUCAGUAUUUAAUAGCAAUGAUUGUGUAACGUCUCAUUAAAUUCUCUUUAUUAUUUAGACUAAGCCGUUACUCCUUGACAGUUCUAUAAAAGGAGGAGGUUUCAUGAUUUGUAAACACACAGAACAUUCUCAACAUCAUAUUGAAAUACUAAAUUCUUAUUGAUUUAUUUUUAUUCUUUGAAAGCCUAUUUAUUUUGGUCUCUAGAUUAUCAGUAACUCGAUUUCUUUUCUCUAAAUUCAAGCUUUGACCAAAUUAUAUUUUAUUACACCUCCUUUUUCACUAUACCCGCAAGGGCGUAAAGGAGUUUUCCAAUUAAAGGACAAUCAGAACAGGAUUUGGUUAUUAAUUAUUCAGAGUUGUCACUUGGGAGAUUUAUGGUGUCUCAAGACACUGAUUUAAAUCCCGAACCGAGGAAGAUUAUGACGCUGUUAGAGUCUGCGAACCAGAAAUCCGAGUAAGGAAUUCUGUUAACUCGGGAGAAGGUGUUAGGCAUUCCCGGUCUCCGUGGUUCUAGCACGGUCGCUUAACUGAUACAUUUGAUUUUAUCUGAUUUUAAUACAUGCUCACGUAUGUGCCUUUAUUUAUAAACCGCUUUCCAUAAUUAUUUAUUUUAAAAGAAUUGCGAGUCAUGAAAACGCGUCUCCGACCACGCCGCCAUCAAGGCACCCGUGGUCGUCAACACAUUUCGACUUCGUCGAGAUUUGGAUUUGGGUCGCAUCAAUGCGCACCCGAGUUUAAGAAGUAACUUGAUUAAAACGCGCUUAAAGGUACUAACGUAAUAUUAUUUUGGGAAAGGCCGUUAAAAUUCCCUAAAUGGACCUUCCAAAUUCUAAUAGUUUUAAAUAACCACUUAUUGAGGGCCCCACAUUUAGUCUUGUUUAGUGAGGCUCGUUUGCAUUUUGAACCCCUUUUUAGAUCAUUAUUUGUUAAUAAGAAUACGACAUCAUGAAAACGCGUUUCUAAUCCCGUCUCCAUCAAGGCACCAAUGGUCGUCAACACAUUUCGACUUCGCCAAGAUUUGGAUUUGAGUUGCAUCAAUGCACACGCGAGUUUAAGUAGGUAUUUUAAUUAAAUGCGUCUAAUGAUUCUAGUGCGUUAUUAUUUCGGGGAAGGCCGUGAAAUUCGCUAAAACGACCCUCCCAUAUUCUAAAUUAAUUCUUAUAAUCAAUCAUCGAGGGCCCCACACUUAUUUUUGUUUGGCGAGGCUCGUCUUAAAUUAUUACUAACAAUUUAUAACUUAAGUAAACCAGACUACGAUAUUUCAUGAUUUGAUUAAAUACUUUCUAACGCUUGAGCGAAUUUGCAAAUCAAUUAUGGAAAAGGUGAAUAUUGGGUAAUAAUGAAUCUACAGGUUGGCCUAACUCCAUAUCAGGAAUUGAAUUCUUAUUUUUAUAAUGUCUAAAAGCUUAGCUGAUAAUAGUAGGCAUCUUACAAAAUAAAUCACCUAACAUGAACGAACAAAAUUAAACUUUGGAUGUAACCCAGAAGCACGUCGAAGCAAACAGUAGUAUACUAUAUCCCGUUAGAAUCCCAAAAUUGCCAUAUAAUAAUAACAUGCUCAAAACACCAAGUAUUUCAUCCAAAUAAUCUGAAUAUUUAGACUAUCAUGCAUAGGAUUACAAACACAAAUUAUUCACCAAAUCUAAUUUAUUUAGACAAGAGAAAUGGAAUGAAGUAACAGUAACCUUCUAACCUCGACAACCAACGGACAGAACCUCGACCAAUGACUUAACCAACGACGAACUCGAACGGACCUUCAACCGGAAGACCUCGAACCAAAACCUCGAUCCACGACCUUCGACGACGGGUAAAGGGUGGUCAGGUGGACUGACUGGCGGCGUUGGCGAGCCGGUUGAGGGCUAGCUGGAGGUUGUUUGGAUGAGAGAAAUGGCGGGUUACUGGACGUGAAGGAGCAGAAGUUUCUGGCCAAAUCCGUGCAAGUAGCGUUGUCAUUCGCCGGUGAUCACUUCCGGCGAAGCAACAGCUCGAGUGAGGAACUGGUGAACGCCGACAUUGGUGGUUGGCGUGAGAGAAGAGAUCUCCGUUUGGUUUCCGGGGUAGUGGGGUGCGACGUGGAUGUAGUAUCAGGGGGGGUGUCUGGUGUUGAGCUGUUGAAGGUUUUAAGAAAGAUAGGUCAUUUGGUGAUGAAGCAGAACAAUGAAGAAGGGGUCCAUUUUUGGUUUAACGGCGCUCUUUUUUUGAGUGUCUGUAUAUCCCAAAAA
Molecule: long non-coding RNA, 4120 nt
Filed under: Nicotiana benthamiana
Lineage: Eukaryota; Viridiplantae; Streptophyta; Magnoliopsida; Solanales; Solanaceae
Description: long non-coding RNA (NBEN_LNC030138)
Source: RNAcentral